GCCGUGUGUCGCGAGCGCAGUCACUGUGGAGGAGAGAGCGCGAGGCUGCGAUGUGAGAGAAACCUGAGGAGAAAAUAACGACAUUUUCGUGAAUGUUUUCUUACUUUUUCGCUCCAGUCGGGACAAAAAAGUACAAACGGGGCGUGAAAGAGUGCUGGACUCACCCAGAACAAGUUGAGUGAGUUGGAAAUGGCGAGUAGGUGGAGAGAGAGACAGAGAAUCUUCCGUUAAACUCUGAGUAUUUGACGGCUUUGAGGAAUUUGUGUGAAGAAACGGUUUAUUUGAGCUCGUUGUGUAAACAGGCAGGGAAGGUGCCUGGAUGAGUGAGAGACACUGGUGGAUUCAUUUACCGUGGAAAAAAAUCAUCCAGCUCUGACUUUGACCGUAUAGACGGGACGGGAGCGAGGCUAACCUACGUCGACGGCAUUAAACAUUUUUACGAGUUGCCGGGAUGUUAUAAAAGCCUGGUCGUUUCUGCGGGACAGCAGGACUGAGAGAAGAAGGUCGAGAGCCGGGAAUCGGAGGAUAUUAUGGCUCUCUCAGCGGUCUCCCUCUGUUUCAUCGUCCUCGCCUCCGCUAACUUGCACCUGAGCCACGGGAAUAACCGCCAUGCCGUCUACUGGAACAGCUCAAACAUUCAGUAAGACUGCUGCUGCUGCUGCUGCAAGGUAGUGAGGUAGUGAUUUUUCCGGAACUGAUGGGGCAGUAUAACGAAGAAGAAGGAAGGUAAUAAGAUAACAACAAUACUUUUUUUUAUUUUUUUUUUUACUUUUUCCCAUUUUCUCCCCAAUUUACAAUUACCCAACCCACUCAUUAGACCCCUAUUACUAGUAAUGCCCCAACACACCAGAAGGGUGAAGACUAACACAUGCUUCCUCCAAUACAUGUGAAGUCAUCCACCACUUCUUUUUGAGCUGCUGCUGAUGCAGCAUUGCCGAGUAGCCAGCGCACUCGGAGGAAAACGCAGUGACUCGGUUCCAAUACAUCAGCUCACAGACGCCCUGUGCUCACAGACAUCACAGUAGGAGUGAUGUGGGUAGAAACCGCCAUCUACCCACCCGGAGGGAGCAGGGCCAAUUGUGCUCCCUCUGAGCACCAGCAGCUUGAUGGCAAAGCUGCAUGAGCGGGUGUUCGGACCUGCGACCUUUUGGUCAUAGUGGCACCGCUUAGGCCACUACCCCAGAAGAAAGUGAAACAGUUGAGGAGAAAAGAAGAGCAGGAGGAAUGGAAAGAAGAAGCAAUAAUUCAGGAAAUUAGACAACUGAUCCUGUUUAAUAGCAUAGUGACUACUGAUGAACUGAGCCAAUCACAAUGCUUGCUUUAAGCUAACCCUAAUACUGUUCAACCAAUCACAUCUGCUGCAAGCAGCCAUCAUUUUACCAUUGUUAAUUAUUUUUAUAGUGUUUACAGUGUUAAGUUAUUUAUUUAUUAUUAUACUAACAGUUAAACAAUUUAUUGCAGA
This 1462-nucleotide long non-coding RNA is filed under the name Astyanax mexicanus (Mexican tetra). RNAcentral describes it as "lncRNA (ENSAMXG00005025447.1)". The record is from RNAcentral. Lineage: Eukaryota; Metazoa; Chordata; Actinopteri; Characiformes; Acestrorhamphidae.